CUCCCUGUGGUGUCACAUGCAAGACAAAUCAUCUUCUGCAAGGAUGGGAUGGAGCUGUACAGUCUGAAAGCCCAGCAAGGGCAGCUGAUCUAUGCUGUGGUCUUGAACAUCACGUCAAGAAGAUAUGCAGGAAGAUAUACAUGUGGGUACCAGCAGAGGAAUGAGAUGAAACAGAGGAGGAGCUCUGCCCUCAGUGCUGGCCGCAUCCUGAAUGCCCCUGGCUUCUCCAUGGUGCUGGCAGUGCUCAAGACUCUUCUGCUGACCCCAGCCAUUUCUAUGCCAACGUGGAUGAGAUGGGCAGAGUGAAGCUCUCUUAAUCCAGCUGCUCUCUACAUCCACUGCAUGCCAAAAGCUGAGCAAGGGAGAGGUGAUGCAGCUGGUUCUCUGAGAGAGGCGGAGAGAACUGGGGAAAGCCCUGCUGAUCUGCGAGCUGUGAAUAAAGCCACCCCAAACAAG
This 456-nucleotide long non-coding RNA is filed under the name Anas platyrhynchos (mallard). RNAcentral describes it as "lncRNA (ENSAPLG00020012845.1)". Lineage: Eukaryota; Metazoa; Chordata; Aves; Anseriformes; Anatidae. The record is from RNAcentral.